ACAUACACGAUGGGGCUUUCGUCAAGCUCGGUUUCUCCUCUCCCCUAUUCGUCUCUCCAGUCUCCAGCCAAAGAAGCCUUCCCGAUCUGAACUCCGGCCACCACCUGCAGCGCGAGGGAGCUCCGGCCGCCUCCCCGCACCUUCAUCCUCGCCUUCGCUUCCCCACUGCAGACGGCAGCGUCAUCCCGCGGCGACGCAGCCGGUGCCCUCCUCCGCUUCGGGGGCCCUCCCCGACGACGGAGAGAUACUUGUGCAGCCGCGAACGCCUGAAGGGGGCUCGCGGUGGAGCGGGAGCAGACGCCGGCCGGCCGGCUGCUACGGAGCAGCACCACAGUCUACAUACCCACUGCAACACCAGCCAUACCUGCUCGGCAAUCAAGUGACAUGGAGGCCGAAAACAGCGAGGUGGCUGCUCUGGUCCAGAAGAUCACCGGCCUCCACGCCGCCAUCUCCAAGCUCCCGUCGCUAAGCCCGUCCCCUCAAGUCGACGCGCUCUUCACCGAGCUGGUCACAGCGUGCGUCCCGUCGAGCCCGGUGGACGUGACCAAGCUCGGCCCGGAGGCGCAGGAGAUGCGGCAGGACCUCAUCCGCCUCUGCUCGGCCGCCGAGGGGCUGCUCGAGGCGCACUACUCCGACAUGCUCACCGCCUUGGACAGCCCGCUCGACCACCUCGGCCGCUUCCCUUACUUCGACAACUACGUCAACCUGAGCAAGCUCGAGCACGACCUUCUUGCCGGUCACGUGGCGGCCCCGGCCCGUGUGGCGUUCAUCGGGUCGGGACCGCUGCCGUUCAGCUCCCUCUUCCUCGCGACGUACCACCUGCCGGACACCCGGUUCGACAACUACGACCGGUGCAGCGUGGCCAAUGGCCGGGCGAGGAAGCUGGUCGGCGCGGCGGAUGAGGGCGUGCGCUCGCGCAUGGCGUUCCACACGGCCGAAAUCGCGGACCUCACGGCUGAGCUCGGCACGUAUGAUGUGGUCUUCCUGGCGGCGCUCGUGGGAAUGACGUCCAAGGAGAAGGCCAACACCAUCGCGCACUUGGGGAAGCACAUGGCAGAUGGGGCGGUGCUCGUCGCGCGAAGCGCCCACGGGGCACGAGCGUUCCUGUAUCCUGUAGUGGAGCUGGAUGAUAUCGGGCGUGGCGGGUUCCAAGUGUUGGCUGUGCACCAUCCUGCGGGCGAUGAGGUGUUCAACUCAUUUAUUGUUGCACGGAAGCAGGAGCAUAUUUCUACCGUGGGCACAACAGGGUUCUGAUGGCAGCACGGGUGUAUAUGGACUACAAUCGAGGGUGUGGCAGACGGGGAGAUGUCAUUCAAGUAAGACGGGGAUGUCAACUUGCUGCUGAGUGAUUGGCAUCUUAAGAACAUCUACAACUAGAUGGUUGGCCUCAUCGAACAUGAGAUGUAUCAGCGAGCCACAGCUCAUUGGUGGAUUCAUGAAAAGGCAGUGAUGAAGUAGCAAUUUAGUGGUGGUUUGCCGUGGUUUUGUGGCCUUUCUGGAAUAUUUGGCGGAAAUGAAGAGCAGAAUCCGGGCAGAAUCCGAGCAUGUCCAGCAGCACGCAGAGGAUGGAUGGGCACACGGUUGGUUCCGGUGGAGCCGCGUGAAGUCCCAUGUGGCUCUCCCGUGUCUCGAGCACGGCCGUGAUGAUCAAGCCAGAGAUCGUCGCCUCUGAGUGCCGAGGGCUGCUCUCUCUUGUAGCGGCCGAGUUCGAGUAGGAAGGGGUCCCUGCAGGUGAUUCCUUGGACUGAAGUUUCUUCAUCGAGCCAUAUAUUGGACGAAGGCGUUUCUCCAUGGGCUGGGCUGGGCUGGUCCGUGCGAAUCUCCUGCCAGUCAUGCCGUGUCAUUGCGUUUUGCUUUUAUCUCAGUUGCUCCUGUCAUCAGCCGAUCAAUGUCUGUGCAAGAAACUGAAGUAACCACUCACCCCUUGAGACCUUUUCAUCGUUUGAUCAAUGUUUGAGCAAGAAAUUUGAUGCGCGCACACAUGCACUUUUUCUGCCCUAACAACUUCAGGAAGGCGUAUAUAGUACAGUUCAAUUUCUAAUAAUUAU
This is an RNA transcript of Triticum dicoccoides, 2048 nucleotides long. It is a transcript of the gene named nicotianamine synthase-like 5 protein, with no coding region annotated. The transcript is spliced from 5 exons. NCBI's taxonomy places the organism in Eukaryota, Viridiplantae, Streptophyta, Magnoliopsida, Poales, Poaceae. The record is from RefSeq and is a predicted model, not a curated record.